RNAcentral lists this long non-coding RNA (341 nucleotides) under Homo sapiens (human). RNAcentral's name for it is "non-protein coding lnc-POLR3K-2:3". Lineage: Eukaryota; Metazoa; Chordata; Mammalia; Primates; Hominidae. The record is from RNAcentral.
GGUCGGGGUUAGGGUUCAGGGUCGGUGUUAGGGUUCAGUGGUCCGGGUUAGGGUUCAGGGUCCGGAUUAGGGUUCAGGGUCCGGGUCAGGGUUAGGGUCAGGGUCAGGGUUAGGGUCAGGGUCAGGGUUAGGGUCAGGGUUUUAGGGUCAGGGUUUUAGGGUCAGGGUCAGGGUGAGGGUCAGGGUCAGGGUGAGGACCCUUUACAGCAGAUGAAGGCCUCUCCCCAGCCAGAAAAGAUGGAGCACACGCUGGGUGGUGGCCCCGCUUCCUCACUGGAAGGAGAUGGUGCUCUUCUUUUUUCUUUCUGAAUUGUGGCCACCUUCAUACCAGUCUGUCAUGG